AUUGAACGCUGGCGGCAGGCCUAACACAUGCGAGUCGAGCGGAUGAAGGGAGCUUGCUCCUGGAUUCAGCGGCGGACGGGCGAGUAAUGCCUAGGAAUCUGCCUGGUAGUGGGGGAUAACGUCCGGAAACGGGCGCUAAUACCGCAUACGUCCUGAGGGAGAAAGUGGGGGAUCUUCGGACCUCACGCUAUCAGAUGAGCCUAGGUCGGAUUAGCUAGUUGGUGGGGUAAAGGCCUACCAAGGCGACGAUCCGUAACUGGUCUGAGAGGAUGAUCGGUCACACUGGAACUGAGACACGGUCCAGACUCCUACGGGAGGCAGCAGUGGGGAAUAUUGGACAAUGGGCGAAAGCCUGAUCCAGCCAUGCCGCGUGUGUGAAGAAGGUCUUCGGAUUGUAAAGCACUUUAAGUUGGGAGGAAGGGCAGUAAGUUAAUACCUUGCUGUUUUGACGUUACCAACAGAAUAAGCACCGGCUAACUUCGUG
RNAcentral lists this ribosomal RNA (484 nucleotides) under uncultured bacterium. RNAcentral describes it as "partial 16S ribosomal RNA". It matches the Rfam family "Bacterial small subunit ribosomal RNA", at positions 30 to 507 of the family's 1533-position model. The record is from RNAcentral.